Molecule: RNA transcript, 3921 nt
Organism: Solanum dulcamara
Lineage: Eukaryota; Viridiplantae; Streptophyta; Magnoliopsida; Solanales; Solanaceae
Gene name: mediator of RNA polymerase II transcription subunit 25-like
Exons: 14
Source: RefSeq, a predicted model, not a curated record
UUAAACAAACCCUAAAUGGUUGUUAAUUAGGUUCUUGCCGUCUUUUCUUCCCCUUCCCCAUCAGAAAAUGUAUACACACCCGAAACGCUGUUAAUCUCCGGUCGCCGCAAUUUAUGAAAAAUAAACAAAGUUUAAGAAGUGAGAAAUCGGUGCUAUGGAAAAUUGCUAUUUAGUUUCUAGAAUCUUCGAUAAAGGUGCACACAUGGCGGACAAACAGUUCAUCGUGGCUCAUUUAUGCGGCGACGCAAUAAUGGAACUUUCCGGCGAAGAGUCGGUUCGAAUUGAGCCGGCUUAAAAUAACACGGUCCUUCACUGGAGCUGAUUCAAUACAACAGAACCCAUCUGCUGGCGAUGUAGAUCUGUCAUUGGUGGUCUUUAAUGUGCACGAUUCCUACAGUGCUUGCAUGUUACAAAGAAGUGGCUGGACAAGAAACAUAGAUGUGUUUUUCCAGUGGCUAUCAGCUCUACCUUUCUCAGGUGGUGGUUUCAAUGAUGUUGCAGCUGCAGAAGGCCUUGCUUCAGCAUUAAUGAUGUUUUCUUCAUUCAAUGGAAGCCAACAAGCUCAACAAAAUGCUGAUGGGCAAAGACAUUGCAUACUUGUUGCCGCAAGUAACCCUUAUCCAUUGCCUACACCAGUUUAUUAUCCAGCUAUGCUGAAUCUGGAGCAGAGUGGAAAUAUUGAAGCACAUACCAGUCUUCGACUAGCUGAUGCUGAGAUAGUUGCAAAGGCAUUUCCUCAGUGCUCUGUUUCCCUCUCUGUUAUAUGCCCAAGGAAGCUUCCGAAAUUAAGAGCAAUAUAUAAUGCGGGAAAACACGAUCCGCAAGCAGCUGACCCGCCUGUUGAUGCGUCUAAGAAUCCGAAUUUUCUUGUAUUAAUUUCGGAAAAUUUCAGCAGGGAUUGUGCUGCUUUCAGUCACACUGAAAUGGAAAGUUUGGCGCCAAACCAGAGCCUGGUUGAAAUGGAUAUGACUUCUGUGCCUCCAAUUUCCGGGCCAGCUAAUUCAUCAGUUAUGAAUCAACAACCCAUUUCAGCUGGAAAUAUUCCUGCUGCACCGGUAAAUAUCGAGCCCGCUAUGGCGACCUCUGUUGGUAGACCUGCACCUCCACAUAUUCCUACUGCUCAUCCUACUUCUCAAGUUGCUGCAAGCUUGCAAAGUGGUUUACCUAUUUCUAUUUCAGAGGAGAUGGUUCCGAAUAAUGAGAAUACUAAGGAAACAACACCUAUUGUCAGUGUGAUGACACAGUCCUUAAGUCUUCCAUUUAGUGGUGCAGCUGCUAAUGUCGGAAUAUUGAAUGAAGUGGCUUCUGCUAUAUCUACUGAUCCAACUGUAUUAACAUCGGGGCAACUAGGUUUCACAUCAAUGACUGGGUUUGCUCCAAUUGCCAGAACUGAUCAGAUAUCUCAAAACUUCGGUCCUGCAUCAUUAACUUUGAUGGCUCCCAGUAUAUUUGGGAAUUCUAACCAUUGCAUGUCCCAACCAUUGAGCAAUAUCCUAGGAGGCACUGGUGCAGGCAGUCAAACAGUACCUGUAAUGAGUCGAGUAAAUCUUCCUGGGUCUCAAAUGAUGCAAAGCGGGAUAGGCAUGCACCAGAAUGUGCCGAGUGGAACAGGUAUUGGUAUGCCUUCGGGACAACUGUUGAGUAAAAUCCCAGGAGCCAUUGGUGCAGGCAGUCCAACAGCACAUGUAAUGAGUCAAGGAAAUCUUCCUGGGUCUCAAAUGAUGCAAAGCAGGGUAGGCAUGCACCAAAAUGUGCCGAGUGGAAUGGAUACUAGUAUGCCUUUGGGACAACUAUUGAGUAAUAUCCAAGGAGUCAUUGGAGAAGGCAAUCUCACAGUACCUGUAAUGAGUCGAGGAAAUCUUCCUGGGCGUCAAAUGAUGCAAAGCGGGAUAGGCAUGCACCGGAAUGUGCCAACUGGAAUGCAUACUGGUAUGCCUUCGGGACAACUGUUGAGUAAUAUCCAAGGAGGCAUUGAUGCAGGCAGUCUAGCAGCACCUGUAAUGAGUCAAGGAAAUUUUCCUGGGUCUCAAAUGAUGCCAAGAGGGAUAGGCAUGCACCAGAAUGUGCCAAGUGGAAUGGGUAGUAGUAUGCCUUUGGAAAUUGGCAGAAUGAUGCCUACUCCAGGGAUGACUCAACAAGGAGAGCCUGGAAUAUUGGCUCUUGGCAGGAAUAACAGUGCAGAAGCUAACAUGUCUCUAUCUCAGCAGCAAACAAUGGCUACAUCACCAUCAGCUCAGUCAGGUUACGUCAAAAUCUGGGAGACACAACUGUGCAAAUAUCACAUCCAAGUUUCAUCCAUCAAUAGCUGGGAGAAAUGUUCUUGUAAAGGAAAUUUAUCAAUUGUGAAAAGGCAUGAACCUGAACAUAUUUCGAGACUACAGGGGUACAAAAGAUCAUCAGCUUCUGAAUCGAGAGUGUAUCAUUAUGUUUCAAGGUUAAGAUGGUACGGAGAUGGCAACAUUUAUCACGUAAAACUGAAGAACUGAUGUUGAGGGCUCAAAAAUAAGAUAGAUUUCAUUUCUCGUGAAUUUAACCUCUCAAGUUCUUGCAACAGCAGCGAACUGAAGAUUGGUGAAGAGACGAAAGACCUCUUGUUAAGUUUCAAAACUUGUUACUUUGGGAGAGAUGGGUGAUUUUAGUCUGAUGAUCCUUCUCAAUAUUCUUUUACUAGAGGUCAUUUAAUUUCCUCUCUUAGUAAUGAAAAGGAGAAAGUGUAAGGCCUCAUUUGUUUGCAGUUACUCUAAUUUAGAUCUCAGAUCUUAGUCAUCGAGUCUUGUUUUUAGGUCUAAAUCUAUUCAGAUCUUAAUCUUUAACAGCGUUUGUUCUUUAAUUUUACAAUCAUUUAAUUGAUCUAAAUGAUUAUGAUCUAUAACAGUCUUUUUAUUUUUUUAUUUUUUUUUGAAACUGGUACGCGCCAAAAAAGGAAUAGAUAGGUGGUUCAGUAUAGUUUUAAGUAAAAAAAAUUUCACAAAAAAUUACACUUGUUGAAAGUACGUACACAAGUCCUAUAAAGUCCACCAAGUGGGCUUCCUAUUCUAUACAUUGCACUUUACACCAAAAUUCAAAAACAUAAAGUGAUGAUAACUUUCCGCUUGAUCUUCUGUAUUGUACGUUCCUUGUCUUCAAAAUUUCUUUCAUUUCUUUCCUUUCAAAUGUUCCACCAAAUGCAGACAGGUACUGUUUUCCACCAUAUCUUUUUAUCUUGAUUUCUCCUCUUCUAAUCCAACAACUUAAAAGAUCUGCAGUAUGCUCAGGCAUAGAGCAGUUCAGCUUACUCAACAAUUGAGCCUAACUGCCUCUCUGCAUCACAGGAACAUUUUAAUUUAUAUUUCUAGCUCGGUGCUUGUUUGCAGCCAUGCAAGCAUCAAUUAUCGUUAGAAGUAUUUUAAAAGCUAAUGACCACAACUUUAUCCUCUGAUAAAAAUAUGAGUCCAAAUAAAUGAGAUAAGCAGAAAAUAUCUUUGAAAGAAAUGCAAUAGUCGAACUGAAAUCAAUGUCAAUAUGUUCACAGUCCUCUCUAUUCAAAGAAGAGGAUGCCUGUGGCACCACCACCAAUUGUCCCCAGGAAUUCCGGCAUCCAAAGUAAACAUGCUAACAUAACUAAAAUAUAUUCUCAACUAAUUGGUAUCGCCUAUGUAAUUACUUUUUUCUACGUCAAGUAUGCAUGGACUCCAUGAUGUCAACUAUAUGAAGCUUAAUUUCUUGGCUUAUCUAUAAAUUUGCCUUUUUUUUUUUCCCUCUUUGUUUAUCUUCUUUGUGCAACCAUAAAAUUUUCAGUGUUGGACUACUUUAAUACUUUGAACUGAUUUUUUUAUUUUGCUCAGGCUUGCUGCAAAUUUGCCCCAAACAUUGCAAAUUCUCCACAUUGCCCGCAAAGAUCAUAUGAUUGAACAAGUUAGGCAGCACACUGGAAAGGCAGAU